CCUGCCAGUAGUCAUAUGCUUGUCUUAAAGAUUAAGCCAUGCAUGUCUAAGUAUAAGCGUUAUACAGCGAGACUGCGGAUGGCUCAUUAAACCAGUUAUAGUUUAUUUGAUAAUAACUCUACUUGGAUAACUGUAGAAAAGCUAGAGCUAAUACAUGCUAAAGUACCUAACUUAUCGGAAAGGUAGUAUUUGCUAGAAAUAAAGCCAAUGCGGGGGCAACUUCGGUCUAGGUGAAUCAUAGUAACUUCUCGAAUCGCACGGUCUUGCACCAGCGAUGUUUCAUUCAAAUUUCUGACCUAUCAACUUUCGACGGUAGAGUAUUGGUCUACCAUGGUGAUCACGGGUGACGGAGGAUUAGGGUUUGGUUCCGGAGAGGGCGCCUGAGAGAUGGCGACCACUUCCAAGGAAGGCAGCAGGCGCGUAAAUUACCCAAUCCUAAUACAGGGAGGUAGUGACAAGAAAUAACAAUACAGGUCCCGACAAGGGACUUGUAAUUGGAAUGAGUGCAAUUUAAAUCUCUCAAUGAGGAACAAUUGGAGGGCAAGUCUGGUGCCAGCAGCCGCGGUAAUUCCAGCUCCAAUAGCGUAUAUUAAAGUUGUUGCAGUUAAAAGCUCGUAGUUGGAAUCUGGAGUGGGCAGGUUUGGUCUUCCAUAACGGUUGAAUCGGCUUGUCUGCUCUUCCAUGUGAGUGCUGUCCACUGCCCUUAAAUGGGUGGAGGCUUCAGCUUCACAUCGUUUACUUUGAAGAAAUUAGAGUGUUUAAAGCAGGCAUGUUUCGUCUUGAAUAUAUUAGCAUGGGAUAAUGGAAUAGGACCUCCUCCUGUUUCGUUGGUUUACAGUGGGGAGGUAAUGAUUAAUAGGGAUAGUUGGGGUAGUUUAUAUUUUGUCGCUAGAGGUGAAAUUCUUGGAUUGUUGAAAGAUAAACGAGUGCGAAAGCUUUCUACAAGGAUGUUUUCAUUAAUCAAGAACGAAAGUUAGGGGAUCGAAGACGAUCAGAUACCGUCGUAGUCUUAACCAUAAACUAUGCCGACCAAGGAU
RNAcentral lists this ribosomal RNA (1037 nucleotides) under uncultured soil eukaryote. RNAcentral describes it as "SSU rRNA". It matches the Rfam family "Eukaryotic small subunit ribosomal RNA", at positions 13 to 1053 of the family's 1831-position model. The record is from RNAcentral.